This 253-nucleotide ribosomal RNA is filed under the name uncultured bacterium. RNAcentral describes it as "partial 16S ribosomal RNA". It matches the Rfam family "Bacterial small subunit ribosomal RNA", at positions 524 to 776 of the family's 1533-position model. The record is from RNAcentral.
UACGAAGGGGGCAAGCGUUGUUCGGAAUCACUGGGCGUAAAGCGCGCGUAGGCGGACCGAUAAGUUGGGGGUGAAAGCCCAGGGCUCAACCCUGGAACUGCCUUCAAUACUGUCGGUCUCGAGUUCGGGAGAGGUGAGUGGAAUUCCUAGUGUAGAGGUGAAAUUCGUAGAUAUUAGGAAGAACACCAGUGGCGAAGGCGGCUCACUGGCCCGAUACUGACGCUGAGGUGCGAAAGCGUGGGGAGCAAACAGG